Long non-coding RNA from Ochlerotatus camptorhynchus, 1991 nucleotides. RefSeq lists it as uncharacterized. NCBI's taxonomy places the organism in Eukaryota, Metazoa, Arthropoda, Insecta, Diptera, Culicidae. The transcript has 3 exons. The record is from RefSeq and is a predicted model, not a curated record.
CCGAAAGGAUGAUGAAAAUUUGUCGCGAUCGGGUCCGGAUUCGUGCGGUUGUGUUUUGAAGUUUUCCUGAACCCAGAAUAAAAGUUGAUCCAUCGGGUGGAUUCUUGUGACAGGCUGAAUUUUGAGCGUUUUCCUUGAUCGGAAAGCGAAAAACAAAUGACGGGAAGUCGUUUCGAGACGGGUGUGAUUCGAUCGAGUGCUAAAUAGCUGUCCGUGAAGCGAUCCUGCUGUUGUUGGUUCAGUGGGUGAACUUGUGCGAUUUAUUUUCUAGCAGUGAAGGAAACAGAAAAAGAGCAUCAUCCCCUAUGUUGCAUUCGAUGGGUGAAGGAAGAACGGGAGUUGUUGUGGAAAAUUCCAAAGCCGUGACGUGUGAAAGAAACUUGGUGUAAACUUGGCCAAGCGGUGAAAUCGUAGAUAAGACGGAAAUUUCGUGUGAAUUUAGGAAGAUAUUGCAGUGGGAUCAGCUGACAGCUGCAGCGUCCUGUUUUGAUGAAAACCAACCAGGGCAGGAGCAACAGCAAAAUAACAACCACCACCAGCAGCCAUCAUCCCGAUGAAUAGAAAGCUUUUCUUCCUGUGCGCCCGUUGCUCGAUCCUGUCUCCGCGCUCGCCUGUCAGUUGCGUCGAGAAAUAGAACAGUCCUGUUGAAUAGAAACAUCUCGCCCCAAAGACAAAUCCUAGCGAAAACUUCCUCACACCAGUUUUUCUGCCGCUCACCAGGAUUGUGUGAAUAUUUUUGUUUGAAUAGAAGUGUGCGGGUUUUCCUCCUUUUUUUCCUCCAGUCGAACGGAAGCAAUUGCUCGUCGUCGUCGUCAGCUGCUGGAAGUGAGCGGGGUGGCAGCGAUGCGUGAAUGGAGAGAGUCUUCUCUACUAUAAUAACAUGGAAAACAUUUUGAUGAUCUGACUUCAAAUAAAAAAAUAAAAGUUUUCUUGUGAGACACACACACACACACACACACUGUUGUCACUUUUUCGUAUGAAACUACGCAGAAGAAGCGAAGGGCAUCAUCAGGAGAAAAAAAAGAUAACUGGAAGGAAUCAGAAACAUUCCGAACCGAAAGUCCAAAUAGCACCACACCGGAAACGGGCUCAAGUCUUGCUGUCGGGUCUUCAUCUUCACUCCGGAAAAUAAAGCCCAAAAGCCCGGGGAAUCCCGACGACCGACGGCGCGCAGGAGAAGAUUAGGUCAGAGUGAAAUACAUUUUGUUUGUUUCGACGGCGCGUGAAUGGGACGAAAAAGGAAUUGGUAUUUCGGGUGCCACUUCCUGGAACGUACUUCCGGUGGGGGGGUAUAAGAUGUGAUGGAGACGCAGCAAGGUGGCACAAUCAAGAGGACCAAAGCUUGCGGAAUGCGACGGAACCAGUUUAUUGGUAGAGGCGAAAAGUUUUCAUAAAUAGUUUACGAUUCCCAUGUAGUUUCGGAGCGGAAAAGCUCAAGCGGUCUCCGACGGUCGUUGGCAAAAUUAAGCGCGUGGAAAAACUGCGAGAGAUUCGGCCGGUCGAGGAAAAUUGUGUACGUGGCAGCAGAGGAAAAAAAAAAUCUAGCCAAAUCCAAUUUAGUCCAAGUUUGUAGGGCUACAGCGGCAGAAGGCACCACCCUCACGUACAAGCGGUGUGUAUGUUGAGCCUGGAGUGAAAAAAGUUUAAUAAUUCUGAGUGUAAUAUAGUGUAACAAAGUAUUUAAACGUAGCGGGAAGCUUCAUGCAUGAUAUGUUGAGUUGCGAGCGCUCGACGGGUCUGUGUGCGUGGUGUGGCAACGUGUAAUGGGCAGAAAUUAACACGGGAAAGUUGUGCAUUCUUGGAGUUUUGCAGCGUGAUAUGAAUUACUUGCUCCGUUUGAGCAACAAUCGACAACAAUUUCAACGACAACGAGCUUUCUAGCAAUGGCUCAGCGACGCAACAAGUCGAGCAUGGAUUACGUAAGCCUCAGUUGCUGUGCGCUGGCAUUCGUCCUGUACGUGAACACCCUCAGCGCUGGAUUCGUAUACGAU